CGCCGCCCCUCGGGCCUCACCGGCACGGCCCGGAGCGGGACGUGCCCUCGGGAGGGAGUCUGCCAGGAGCAAUAUGGAGACGGCUUGGAAGUCCUGUGUCCCGCGGUCCCUCGCUGAAAUUUGAUUGGAAAGGCUGGAGCCACAGCAGCUGGGGAGCCACAGAGAGACUGAAGCUGAACAUCAUCCAAAAAUGGUGAGAGAUGACAGGCAUUGAAAAGGUAGCUUCAUUCCAAGCCUGUUCUCCUUGUGAGUCCCUCCUGUAGAAAUAAAACUGUGGUACUUG
Molecule: long non-coding RNA, 283 nt
Organism: Manacus vitellinus (golden-collared manakin)
Lineage: Eukaryota; Metazoa; Chordata; Aves; Passeriformes; Pipridae
Exons: 3
Source: RefSeq, a predicted model, not a curated record